CCUACGGUAGGCAGCAGUCGAGAAUCAUUCACAAUGGGGGAAACCCUGAUGGUGCGACGCCGCGUGGGGGAAUGAAGGUCUUCGGAUUGUAAACCCCUGUCAUGUGGGAGCAAAUUAAAAAGAUAGUACCACAAGAGGAAGAGACGGCUAACUCUGUGCCAGCCGCCGCGGUAAUAAAGAGGUCUCAAGCGUUGUUCGGAAUCACUAGGCGUAAAGCGUGCGUAGGCUGUUUCGUAAGUCGUGUGUGAAAGGCGCGGGCUCAACCCGCGGACGGCACAUGAUACUGCGAGACUAGAGUAAUGGAGGGGGAACCGGAAUUCUCGGUGUAGCAGUGAAAUGCGUAGAUAUCGAGAGGAACACUCGUGGCGAAGGCGGGUUCCUGGACAUUAACUGACGCUGAGGCACGAAGGCCAGGGGAGCGAAAGGGAUUAGAUACCCUAGUAGUC
This 446-nucleotide ribosomal RNA is filed under the name uncultured bacterium. RNAcentral describes it as "partial 16S ribosomal RNA". It matches the Rfam family "Bacterial small subunit ribosomal RNA", at positions 338 to 795 of the family's 1533-position model. The record is from RNAcentral.